GACGAACGCUGGCGGCGUGCUUAACACAUGCAAGUCGAACGGAAAGGCCCUGCUUUUGUGGGGUGCUCGAGUGGCGAACGGGUGAGUAACACGUGAGUAACCUGCCCUUGACUGUGGGAUAACUUCAGGAAACUGGGGCUAAUACCGGAUAGGAGCUCCUGCUGCAUGGUGGGGGUUGGAAAGUUUCGGCGGUUGGGGAUGGACUCGCGGCUUAUGAGCUUGUUGGUGGGGUAGUGGCUUACCAAGGCUUUGACGGGUAGCCGGCCUGAGAGGGUGACCGGCGACAAGGGGCCUACGAUACGGCCCAGACUCGAAUGGGAGGCAGCGGUGGAGAAUCUGGCACAAUGGGGGGGAGCCUGUUGCAGCAGCGCCGCGUGCGGGAUGACGGCCUUCGGGUGGUAAACCGCUUUCGCCUGUGACGAAGCGUGAGUGACGGUAAUGGGUAAAGAAGCACCGGCUAACUACGUG
Molecule: ribosomal RNA, 468 nt
Filed under: uncultured bacterium
Lineage: Bacteria
Description: partial 16S ribosomal RNA
Rfam family: Bacterial small subunit ribosomal RNA
Source: RNAcentral